UGGGCUUCCCUUCUUCAGGUGGUGUCCCUUUAUGAGAGUGAGUAAUGAGGAUAAUUAAUGUCAGAGUAUUUAAAUGUCUGGGCAGGAAGCAUUAGAACGUAGCCUCUGUCGUACCCGCCCCUCUUCCGGUCUUCAGUGUCACAGUAGUUGAAAUGUUGUUGCAGCCGUGCCUGUUAAGUCCUCGGUGAGCUUCGUCAAGCGCUCGUUGGAAGUUUUAGUGAAACAAUAUUUAUGAAGACAUCCUAACAUCCUAUGCUUGUGUAGCUGCGGAUCGGAUCUU
Sinocyclocheilus rhinocerous is the source of this 280-nucleotide long non-coding RNA. RefSeq lists it as uncharacterized. The record is from RefSeq and is a predicted model, not a curated record. The transcript has 3 exons. NCBI's taxonomy places the organism in Eukaryota, Metazoa, Chordata, Actinopteri, Cypriniformes, Cyprinidae.